GCCUGGGUGGCUCAGUUGGUUAAGCGUCUGACUUCAGCUCAGGUCAUGAUCUCACGGCUUGUGGGUUCGAGCCCCGCAUCGGGCU
RNAcentral lists this transfer RNA (85 nucleotides) under Felis catus (domestic cat). It matches the Rfam family "tRNA". Rfam says of the family: Transfer RNA (tRNA) molecules are approximately 80 nucleotides in length. Lineage: Eukaryota; Metazoa; Chordata; Mammalia; Carnivora; Felidae. The record is from Rfam by way of RNAcentral.